Molecule: ribosomal RNA, 505 nt
Filed under: uncultured bacterium
Lineage: Bacteria
Description: bacterial SSU rRNA
Rfam family: Bacterial small subunit ribosomal RNA
Source: RNAcentral
AGAGUUUGAUCAUGGCUCAGAUUGAACGCUGGCGGUAUGCUUAACACAUGCAAGUCGAACGGUAACAGGCCUUCGGGCGCUGACGAGUGGCGGACGGGUGAGUAACGCGUAAGAAUCUGCCUCAUAUGGGGGGACAAACGUGGGGGAAACUCACGCUAAUACCGCAUACGCCCUACGGGGGAAAGCGGGGGAUCUUCGGACCUCGCGCUAUGAGAUGAGCCUGCGUUAGAUUAGCUAGUUGGUAGGGUAAAGGCCUACCAAGGCGACGAUCCUAUAGCUGGGUCUGAGAGGACGAUCAGCCACACUGGGACUGAGACACGGCCCAGACUCCUACGGGAGGCAGCAGUGGGGAAUAUUGGACAAUGGGCGCAAGCCUGAUCCAGCAAUACCGCGUGUGUGAAGAAGGCCUUAGGGUUGUAAAGCACUUUCAAUUGGGAGGAAAACCUGCCGGUCAAUACCCGGUAGCUUGACAUUACCUUUAGAAGAAGCACCGGCUAACUCCGUG